Molecule: ribosomal RNA, 465 nt
Filed under: Vreelandella stevensii
Lineage: Bacteria; Pseudomonadati; Pseudomonadota; Gammaproteobacteria; Oceanospirillales; Halomonadaceae
Description: partial 16S ribosomal RNA
Rfam family: Bacterial small subunit ribosomal RNA
Source: RNAcentral
CCUACGGGGGGCUGCAGUGGGGAAUAUUGGACAAUGGGCGAAAGCCUGAUCCAGCCAUGCCGCGUGUGUGAAGAAGGCCUUCGGGUUGUAAAGCACUUUCAGUGGGGAAGAAAGCCUUGGGGCUAAUACCCUCGAGGAAGGACAUCACCCACAGAAGAAGCACCGGCUAACUCCGUGCCAGCAGCCGCGGUAAUACGGAGUGUGCGAGCGUUAAUCGGAAUUACUGGGCGUAAAGCGCGCGUAGGCGGUCUGAUAAGCCGGUUGUGAAAGCCCCGGGCUCAACCUGGGAACGGCAUCCGGAACUGUCAGGCUAGAGUGCAGGAGAGGAAGGUAGAAUUCCCGGUGUAGCGGUGAAAUGCGUAGAGAUCGGGAGGAAUACCAGUGGCGAAGGCGGCCUUCUGGACUGACACUGACGCUGAGGUGCGAAAGCGUGGGUAGCAAACAGGAUUAGAUACCCGUGUAGUC